UACGGAGGGUGCAAGCGUUAUCCGGAUUCACUGGGUUUAAAGGGUGCGUAGGCGGGCAGGUAAGUCCGUGGUGAAAUCUCUGAGCUUAACUCAGAUACUGCCAUGGAUACUAUUUGUCUUGAAUGUUGUGGAGGUAAGCGGAAUAUGUCAUGUAGCGGUGAAAUGCUUAGAUAUGACAUAGAACACCAAUUGCGAAGGCAGCUUACUACACAAAUAUUGACGCUGAGGCACGAAAGCGUGGGGAUCAAACAGG
Molecule: ribosomal RNA, 253 nt
Filed under: uncultured bacterium
Lineage: Bacteria
Description: partial 16S ribosomal RNA
Rfam family: Bacterial small subunit ribosomal RNA
Source: RNAcentral